Brassica rapa (field mustard) is the source of this 430-nucleotide long non-coding RNA. RefSeq lists it as uncharacterized. Lineage: Eukaryota; Viridiplantae; Streptophyta; Magnoliopsida; Brassicales; Brassicaceae. The record is from RefSeq and is a predicted model, not a curated record.
UCCGGAUUGAACAUUUUCGAGGAGGAGGGAGAAUGUGUAAAUGUAAAUUUUUCUUUAUAUAUAGAGACAAAAAUUCCAAUAUGGUUAAAUAUUUUCGAUUUAGAAUACUUUUAAGUGAGUCUUCUAAUAGAAAAAAUCCUAGACGACUUACUUGUAACGGGAGUUAGAAGACUUUCAGAGAAGUCUUCUAACCGCCGGACGACUUAUGUGUUAGUAGUCUAGACCCAAAACAUAACCCCUAAACUAAAUUAACUAACUAAACACUUUGUAAAAUCAAAUUAAACUUAAAAAAGUGUUUACUAUACACAGAAAUAAACACAUAUAGGUAAAAUUGAAAUUUUUCAAAAAACAUUUAAGCUUUCCAAAAUCUAACCCUAAGAAUACAUACAACACUACAACAUAUGUUGUCAAACUCUAAGCCAAAAAAUAU